This 443-nucleotide ribosomal RNA is filed under the name uncultured bacterium. RNAcentral's name for it is "bacterial SSU rRNA". It matches the Rfam family "Bacterial small subunit ribosomal RNA", at positions 958 to 1400 of the family's 1533-position model. The record is from RNAcentral.
AACGCGAAGAACCUUACCUACCCUUGACAUCCUGAGAAUUCUACAGAGAUGUAGAAGUGCCGAAAGGAACUCAGAGACAGGUGCUGCAUGGCUGUCGUCAGCUCGUGUUGUGAGAUGUUGGGUUAAGUCCCGUAACGAGCGCAACCCUUAUCCUUAGUUGCCAACAUGUAAUGGUGGGGACUCUAAGGAGACUGCUGGUGAUGAACCGGAGGAAGGCGGGGACGACGUCAAGUCAUCAUGGCCUUUAUGGGUAGGGCUACACACGUGCUACAAUGGGGCGCACAGAGGGUAGCGAACCUGCGAAGGGGAGCCAAUCUCAAAAAACGCCUCGUAGUCCGGAUCGGAGUCUGCAACUCGACUCCGUGAAGUCGGAAUCGCUAGUAAUCGCGAAUCAGAACGUCGCGGUGAAUACGUUCCCGGGCUUUGUACACACCGCACUACUA